AUCACAUGGGGGCCUUGUUAAAAUGCAUAUUCUGCUUCAGCAGGCCUGGGAUUCUGCAUUUCUAUUAAGUUCUCAGGUGAUGCUGA
Molecule: microRNA precursor, 86 nt
Organism: Chlorocebus sabaeus (green monkey)
Lineage: Eukaryota; Metazoa; Chordata; Mammalia; Primates; Cercopithecidae
Rfam family: mir-544 microRNA precursor family
Source: Rfam